UGGAGGCAGCAGUGAGGAAUUUUGCGCAAUGGACGAAAGUCUGACGCAGCAACGCCGCGUGGAGGAUGAAGGCCUUCGGGUCGUAAACUCCUGUCGAUGGGGACGAAAGCCUAGCAAUAGGAUUGACUGUACCCGUUGAGGAAGCCACGGCUAACUCCGUGCCAGCAGCCGCGGUAAUACGGAGGUGGCAAGCGUUGUUCGGAAUUACUGGGCGUAAAGGGCGCGUAGGCGGCUUAACAAGUCAGAUGUGAAAGCCCCGGGCUUAACUCGGGAACUGCAUCUGAAACUGUAGAGCUUGAGUUCUGGAGGGGGUAGUGGAAUUCCCAGUGUAGCGGUGAAAUGCGUAGAUAUUGGGAGGAACACCUGCGGCGAAGGCGGCUACCUGGACAGAAACUGACGCUGAGGCGCGAAAGCUAGGGGAGCGAACGGGAUUAGAUACCCCGGUAGC
Molecule: ribosomal RNA, 448 nt
Filed under: uncultured bacterium
Lineage: Bacteria
Description: bacterial SSU rRNA
Rfam family: Bacterial small subunit ribosomal RNA
Source: RNAcentral